UAGGGAAUCUUCGGCAAUGGACGGAAGUCUGACCGAGCAACGCCGCGUGAGGAAAAAGUUUUUCGGAUCGUAACCUUUGUUGUAAGAGAAAAACAGUGUGAGAGGAAAUUUCACACUGUGACGGUAUCUUACCAGAAAGGGACGGCUAACUACGUGCCAGCAGCCGCGGUAAUACGUAGGUCCCGAGCGUUGUCCGGAUUUAUUGGGCGUAAAGCGAGCGCAGGCGGUUAGAUAAGUCUGAAGUUAAAGGCUGUGGCUUAACCAUAGUAGGCUUUGGAAACUGUUUAACUUGAGUGCAAGAGGGGAGAGUGGAAUUCCAUGUGUAGCGGUGAAAUGCGUAAAUAUAUGGAGGAACACCGGUGGCGAAAGCGGCUCUCUGGCUUGUAACUGACGCUGAGGCUCGAAAGCGUGGGGAGCAAACAGGAUUAAAUACCCUGGUAGUCCACGCUGUAAACGAUGAGUGCUAGGUGUUAGACCCUUUCCGGGGUUUAGUGCCGUAGCUAACGCAUUAAGCACUCCGCCUGGGGAGUACGACCGCAGGUUG
RNAcentral lists this ribosomal RNA (544 nucleotides) under uncultured bacterium. RNAcentral's name for it is "bacterial SSU rRNA". It matches the Rfam family "Bacterial small subunit ribosomal RNA", at positions 355 to 896 of the family's 1533-position model. The record is from RNAcentral.